CGAGGACAAGAAACUGGCUCAGGAACACAAGGCAGACUAUAUUUUGCUCCUUUUAACACCUGAGUGCUCCAAUUUACAGCUUCCUGGGGCUAUUACCUUACUUACACCAUUGUUAAGUUUGGCCCUGAUCUCAUUGUUGUUGAAUGUGGCACCCCCACCCCACCCCAAAGAAUUUGUAAUUCACCUAGGACAUGCAAGCCAAAAGAUAUAAAAUGAUUUACUUUUUCCUGCGUCGUCAGGCCUCCAUAACCCCAUGAAGGGCCAGCAGCAGCCAAUGCCCCUCAAUGCUCACUUUCCACCUUUUAUAUUUUUUUUUAUUAAAAGUCCAUAAAGAUGCGCUGAUUUGUAUCAGCAGAAAUACAAACUGGGUCUGCAGCAGCGGAUCUCUUACACAACAAACCCAAUCUCCCAUUCUGAUAAAAUGUAUCCUUUCCUUCCUCCAAUGUGUCCAUUUCUAUUUGCUUUUAUUCCAGCUCUGUCUCUUCUCGCAUGUCUUCCAUCAUAUGUCUAUAUUUAUUUAUUUUAUUUAUUACAACAUUUAUAUCCCGCCCUUCUCACCCAACAGAGGAUUCAGGGCGGCUUACAAUAAAACACACAUAUAAAAAUUGUACAGUACAUUAUAAAUCAGAUUAAAAAUUAUUAGCUUACAUCAGCAUUCAUAUUAAACACAUUCUAAAAUACAGAUGGGCAUGUUCAAGUUCAAAAGACUGGGUCUGUCGAUUAAGUUCUGGUGUACAUAAUAAUAAUUAGCGCUGCUAGUUGUUGUUUGAAUAUAUCUACAUGCCUACCCAUAUGUAUGCACAUGCACAUGAGCAGAGCCCCAGCCAGAAUAUAGAAACAACAUUUUUAACCCUUUGAUAUGAUCUACCUUAUUCCCCUGUAUCCCUGUUUCUGAACUGUACUAAUUAAAUAUGAUUGCAGCAAGAAGCUUACCCCUUGCUGAUCCUACUGGGGAAUUUCCUGUGACAUCUGGGAUGGGCAGGUCAUGAGACAAAGGUGACAAUCAAGCUCCAUUGGGUACACAUGCUGGACAACAGACAAUUUCCUCUGUGAGAUCUGAUAAUUGUAAGCAGGUCCCUGCCCAGCUGAUUGCUUCCAUUGAGCUGACCAUGGAAACAGGAACUCCAGGUGUACACACAUACUGGAUCCCUUUGUCUGAGGCCCAAGGCUUGAUUGAACAUAACCAUCACCUUUUGUCUCAGGACACCUCACCCCCACCUUUCCCAGGAAACUGAUGCAUCACCCAACAUUAAGACAAAUACAAACAAAUCAGAGACUUAUUUGCAUUUCCUGAGGUAGACACAGACUUUCUAAGGCUCACCUCCUCCCAGGAGAGCUGUCCCUCAACCUGGUUUAGCAUAACACUCGCUGGGAAGGACCCUCCAUAACUGACGUCCUUACUCUAAAUUCAACCUCAUCAUAAGUAGACAAUCUAAACUCACGCAGUCUCAUAUGUUCAUAAAUGUAUGUAGAAAGCUCCAGAAAUAUCCAGUACUACCUGCAACAAGACAAUCAUUGUUUAAAUAAAAGGUUCUCCUUACUUCAUCUUUGUCCAGAACUCUUCUGCUUUGAUAAUCCACUAACUACUUCCCUACUUAUUGGGAGAGGGCCUGUAUCAUGGAACACAAUGUAAACGUUUGUUUGCUGAGAUCUGACAAUGGUCCGAUGGGAAUGAUUCCUGAUUUUGUGGAAAGUGAGAAUACCAGUCUUCACCAUAGCCACAGAAGAUAUACAUAGGCAUAAGUUGCAUCUACACAUGUGUACAUAACUAAAAGGUGCCUUUAAAUGCAACAAUCCUCUUCAGAAGUUAUAAAGUAUGGAGAACAAUAUAGAAUAGCAAACAUAAUUGCAGGAUGACCCAGUGCUGCAAGAAGAUCUUCACGUUCCUGUUCUUAAAGGCUAACAAAGGUCUCCUGACAAUUCAUUACCAAAUGGCUAUCCAUAAACAUGCAGGUACUAGCAUCAAUGCCAGAGCAUAUUUCUCCUUGCUUAGGGAAGGGAUUCAUGCCUCUCUAGAUUUCAUAACCUGUAAUUCAAAGUCAGUGUGGAUAAAGUGACCUUCAUCAGAAUUCCUGCUUAGAGUCUAAAAGCCCAGUACACACAAAGUUGCACAGACUGCAUACUUUCCGGAGUUCUGCCUGUCCUGCUGAAUGAUCCUUAAAGUUUGCAUAAGUCAACACUUUCUCCUGCUGCAUUAUUACCACCAGUGAGUACUGGCAGAGGCAUGGGAGCUAUUCUUACACACAGAGAAGCACUAACAGCUGGGAGGAGGGGAGCCCAUCUGGGAUUCAAGCAUAAGGUCUGUAUGCAUUCCUGCUGCUUUCAAAUGCUCCAUGUUGACAUUCCCGCUAACAUAUGCUUCACUAAUGAAAGGUAGAUUCUUUUCAAAGAGAGAGAAAUUGCUUUGUUUUGAAUGAUUUUCAUUUAAUGCAUCUUAAAUUUUGCUUAUUAUUCAUUUAAAGGAAGUUCUUCAAACCAGGAGAUCAUGGGGAGGAAAAUCAAUAGUCAGGAAAGGUCGGUUCCCUUUUGAAUACUGAAAACCUCUUGCCUCAUAUAUGCUCCAAACAUCUGGUCAUCCAAUUAAAGGCGACAUGCCAGACCUACACUCUCAAAAUCAGCAGUAGAACACCCAUAUCAUUGCCACAGUUGAAGGCUCAACCGCUAGUUCAACUAACUUCUCUAAAUAACAUAGAUGCAAAGAGAUGCUUCUGCAAGACAAUUUGUUUGACAUCCUCUUCAGAUGUCUUGAAAUUUUAACACAAACCUUUAUCUGAGUGUCUCAUUUCUUAUGGAUCUCACUGUAGAUUUUGGUUCAUGCACAGACUCCAUUAAAAGUUAAGUGCUAUUUGGGA
Long non-coding RNA from Anolis carolinensis (green anole), 2852 nucleotides. RefSeq lists it as uncharacterized. NCBI's taxonomy places the organism in Eukaryota, Metazoa, Chordata, Lepidosauria, Squamata, Anolidae. The transcript is spliced from 3 exons. The record is from RefSeq and is a predicted model, not a curated record.